AUAUUGGACAAUGGGGGCAACCCUGAUCCAGCCAUGCCGCGUGUGUGAAGAAGGUCUUCGGAUUUUAAAGCACUCUAAUUGGGGAGGAAGCUCUUUAGGUAUAUACCCUGUAGUUUGUACGUAACCACCAGAACAAGCACCCGCUAACUCUGUGCUAGCAGCCGCGGUAAUACAGAGGGCGCAAGCGUUAAUCGGAAUUACUGGGCGUAAAGCGCGCGUAGGUGGUUCAGUAAGAUGGGUGUGAAAUCCCCGGGCUUAACCUGGGAACUGCUUUCAUAACUGCUGAGCUAGAGUACGGUAGAGGGUAGUGGAAUUUCCUGUGUAGAGGUGAAAUGCGUAGAUAUAGGAAGGAACACCAGUGGCGAAGGCGACUACCUGGACUGAUACUGACACUGAGGUGCGAAAGCGUGGGGAGCAAAC
Molecule: ribosomal RNA, 420 nt
Filed under: uncultured bacterium
Lineage: Bacteria
Description: partial 16S ribosomal RNA
Rfam family: Bacterial small subunit ribosomal RNA
Source: RNAcentral